Bombus pyrosoma is the source of this 3998-nucleotide RNA transcript. It is a transcript of the gene named origin recognition complex subunit 3, with no coding region annotated. The transcript has 15 exons. The record is from RefSeq and is a predicted model, not a curated record. NCBI's taxonomy places the organism in Eukaryota, Metazoa, Arthropoda, Insecta, Hymenoptera, Apidae.
AUCAACUAGUGGGUAUGUGUGAAGUGUUUCUGUGCUUUCCAUAUUAAUGACAUGAUUUUUAGUGAUUGGAAUAGUUUUUGGUCAUUUUAUUAAAAUAUAUGGUUUUAUGAACAUUUCUUGGAUAAUAUGGACAACGUAUCAGUAUCAAAGGGCGUCUUUGUACACAAAGGUGCUUAUAAGAUCGGGAAUAAACAAACAAAAUUUGAACCACCAGAUUAUUUAAAUGCAUCGUGGUAUCUUACUUAUAAAGAAACAUGGGAAAGCAUUCAAAAUGCUAUAGAGGCUAUAAGGUCCAAUAUGUUUCAACAAGUUUUGGAUGACUUACAAUCUUUUGUUUCCAAGAUUAAAGAUAAACCAAUAGAGCAAUUUCAGAAUGAGAUACAGACAGCUAUUCUAUUAACUGGAGUUAAUGUUUCUGAUCAUAAGAUAAUGUUUCAAAGAGUAGUUUCUAAGCUAAAACCAAUAACAAAUCAUAUUGCUGUUAUAUGGGGUAGAGACUCGAAUAAUAUAAAGAAUCUCACAGAAGAAUCAAUUUAUCAGUUGAUGAAUAAUGAAAAGGAUGAUGAAGAUGUACAAAUUAAGAAAACCCACUGUCAUAUGAGGAAUCUAAAAUUAUGGCAUCAAGAAAAUUGUGAUCGAAAUGAUCCUUUGGUUAUAAUGAUAACUGAUUUUGAAAGUUCUUCUCCUGCAGUACUGCAUGAUUUUAUUUUAAUAUUGAGUUCAUAUGUCAAUUCAAUGAAAUUUAUUCUUAUUUUUGGUGUUGCAACUACUUUACAUGCUAUCCAUAGAUCUUUAACAUACGAUGUUACAUCAAAAUUGAAUGUUCAAGUAUUCCAUAUGCAAAAACAAAUUAAUAUUUUGUCAGACGUGUUAGAAAAGACUGUUUUUUGUACAAAUAUCCCAUUUAAAUUGACUGGACGCGCGUUUCAAUUUUUAACGGAUAUCUUUUUGUUUCAUGAUUUUUCGGUAGAGAAUUUUUUACAAAGUUAUAAGAUAUGCAUGAUACAACAUUUUUAUGCAAACAAUAUAAAUUCUCUCUGUUGUCAACCGCAGAAGAUAAAAAGCAGGAUUUCUUCUUUAACAGAUGAGGAUUGGGUGGAAAUUAAAAAAUUGCCUUCUAUAGAAAAAUAUAUUAGACAACUUACGAAUGACAAAAACAAAGAUGAAUUUCUUAAUGAUAACAGGUUUAAGGAAACGUUGACGCAGCUCUUAAAUAAUUUUCACCAAUAUAUGCACCGAUUUUUGUUAAUACUCAAGUGCCUGCACGAUCUCAUGUCGACAUUACCAAAUGCACCAAUGGGCAAACAGCUACGUGAAUAUUACACAAAAGCAGUUUAUAUGAGUGAUUUGAGAGAAUCUCAAGAGUACAAAGAAUGCCUGCAAUUGCUAAGUUUUCUAUCCAAGAAGGAAUUUCUUGAAAAAUUGAACUCUUUUACAACAAUUAUGGAAAGUUCGAAGGACUCAAUUAUGAAGAAAGUUAAAGCAGAUCUACAGGACCGUAUAAAAACAAUUGAGGAAGCUAGUUUAGAAGUAGCUUCGAUACCUGUCGAUAUCGUUUCUACCGGUGAAAAACUCAGUCGACUUCAAUUGAAAGAGAAAUUAUUGAAAAUGUCCCAAACGCAAUCUCGAUCGCCCUAUAAGAUAGCUCAACAGGAUUUGAUCGAUUAUUUAGAUCAAAAAGUGUUUUCUGUGUACCUUAUCAAUCCUCAUUACAUACCUGGUAACGAGAUAUUUUGCUUCAAUGAUGGUAAUUUAGCGAAACAACAUGUUCGUGGAUCUUUGAGAGCAGCGAUACACACAGGAUUAAACGAUCCACAUGUGUACUUAAAUUGCGAGUGCUGCAAAUUGGAGAACGACGACGCCAUCCCAUCCACGCUGCCUGACCUCAGUAUAAUUUACAAGUUGCACUUAGAAUCCAGGAAGCUGAUCAAUAUGUACGACUGGUUGCAGAACUUUGUGGACAUCUACAAAUCUCGUAUGCAGAACGCCUGUCGACGAUGUCUCGUUCAGCCGGAAUUGAUGUUUCUCUCAGCAGAGUUUCCUGGCGGAAACUGAUUCGCCACGGCACACCGGCCAAUAUGCCCAUCGUUUUUCCAGACAAGCAUCCUCAGCUUUCGACAGGCUUCCGCUAUCGAAUCGACCAGCUGGCUUCUCUCUUUAGUUUAGUUCCACGAUAUUUUCAACGUAAUCUCUUUCCCUCUUGGAAAAAGGAUAAAGCCUAGAGACGAACGGUGACUCCGAAGAUACGACCGGGUAUGCUUCGGGUGUGAUGCGAGAUUGAUACGAAGAAGCUGUUGAGAUUGAUUUCCGCGUCGCAGAACGAAUGAUGGCAGAGUAAGCCCGCAAUCCCUGUGGGCUCCUACUAACUUACUCGGGACUGUCUUAGAGUGGUACACCUCCACUCCCGGUUCUUUCCAUCCGGGAUGGAAAUAAGUCUGAAAAUGAAAGGAGAAUACCGUCUCCCGUGGGAAAUGUAACCUGCUUGUUCCUCGUUUUAUGAAUCUUCGAGACAGGUCUUCUUCUUCUGUAGCAUUGGCCGCGAAAUGGCUACGGAAUACGAAUCGAGGAAAUAGAGUUCGAAUUUCUGUGUCUAUCAACCUUUGGAUGGAAUAUAGUGGAAGAUGGGUCAAUUUUCAUAUAAUACAUGCAAAUGUUUCACACAUUUGUUAUUAUCAAGCUGCGGAUUUUUACGUAUUUAAUAUGAAAUUCGAGAAUGUAGCAUUUCAUAAAAUGCAUGUGAUAUGAAGAGAUGUAUAAAAUAUAUGAAGUAUAGUGUUCCUAUAAUAUCUGUUAGUAUUUCAGGCAAUGGACAAAAGUCCAACCACUGAAGCCUAUGAAUGAUAACUUUUUAUAUUACAAAAUACAAAGAAGUGGGCGUAGAUUUUAAUACUACUCAUAAUUUUUAUUAAAUUUGCCAAUUUGUCGUCAGAAAUAAUGUUAAAAUUUUACUGCAAUUUACGGCACAUUUUUAUAAACGUCUUCAUUCAUCGAUUUUAUAUGCUUAAUUUGAUUUUUGUAAGUUAUGGUUAGCAUCGUGCUUUCAUACUGACAAGUAAUUUUUUUUUACAAAAUUGACAUCCUAAUUUUUUAUGGUUAAAUGUCCAUCAACUUUGAACUGAGUUUUAAGAAAGGUACCGAAAAGUACCUCCGUGAGUUUUCGUACAUUAAUUAAAGAUGCAUUAAACAUCAUAAUAGUAUUAAAUUUAGUUGCCCAAACUUGAGGAAAUAGUCAAAAUCGUUAUCAAUAUCUCCAUCACAUCGCGAUGUAUGUUUGGCGUAGUCUUUAUAUUUAUAUCUUUACAUUAUAUCUGACUAGUUGUUGCUAAUGAUAGAUGAUAAUGGCAACAACAGUUAAACUCUUUAUCCAUUAUCUACACGGUAAUACAAAUAGAAAUUUCAUUUGCAAUUGGGCUACUGAAGUUGUGUGAGUAAACCAUUGGAAAAUAUCAUGUUUUCUUGUUGGUGGAUAGCUAGACAAAUUACCCGCAAACACGAUUCUAACAUAAUAAGAAUUUAUAUCUCUAUAACGACGCUUUUCCUUUCCACGAAAAUGUGACAAUCUCAUUUUCCAAUUUACGAUAAUAAAAUACAAUAUUUACUCGUUGUAUGCGACUAAAUAGACAUUGCGCAUUCAUAGAUUCAGAGCGUCGACAGAAAUCGAUAAUGUUAGUGUAUUUAAGCGCAAGCAUCGCGUGAAACAUCAGCCAUCGCAAGAACAUAAACACUACAAGCUGAAAUUACGUGUCGUCGGCAAACAUCUAUCGAAGAACGUUGGAAAAAGCCUAACAUCUGACGAGCACUCCACGUUUCGAAGUAGCACUAAAUAUGUAAUUAUGUUAAGAAAGACGUUCCUGCGUCUUUCAUGCAAGAUAACAAGAAACAUACGAGAGCGUAAUAAAUUACUUUGUAAUUGUUUUUUACAAAUGAACUUUUUAGAAGGAGGAAAGAAUAAAUUCAAGAAAAAGUGAAGUUAUAAAAUUAAAGUUGAAUUUGUGAAA